UCCGGUUUGACACCGGCAGUCUCCCUAGAGUUCCCGGCAUGACCCGCUGGUAACUAGGGACAAGGGUUGCGCUCGUUGCGGGACUUGACCCAACAUCUCACGACACGAGCUGACGACAACCAUGCACCACCUGUGAACCGACCGCAAGCGGGGCACCUGUUUCCAGGCAUUUCCGGUCCAUGUCAAGCCUUGGUAAGGUUCUUCGCGUUGCAUCGAAUUAAUCCGCAUGCUCCGCCGCUUGUGCGGGCCCCCGUCAAUUCCUUUGAGUUUUGGCCUUGCGGCCGUACUCCCCAGGCGGGGUGCUUAAUGCGUUAGCUUCGGCACGGAGGGAGUUGACACCCCCCACACCUAGCACCCAUCGUUUACGGCGUGGACUAC
This 378-nucleotide unclassified non-coding RNA is filed under the name uncultured Actinomycetes bacterium. RNAcentral's name for it is "uncultured actinobacterium contains 16S-23S intergenic spacer region". Lineage: Bacteria; Bacillati; Actinomycetota; Actinomycetes. The record is from RNAcentral.